CAGCGGGAUAACCCGGAGAAAUCCGGCCUAAUACCGCAUGUGGCCGAGGGAAGGCAUCUUCUUUCGGCCAAAGGAGGCGACUCCGGAGACGGAUGGGCAUGCGUGACAUUAGCUUGUUGGCGGGGUAACGGCCCACCAAGGCGACGAUGUCUAGGGGUUCUGAGAGGAAGGUCCCCCACACUGGUACUGAGACACGGACCAGACUCCUACGGGAGGCAGCAGUGAGGAAUAUUGGUCAAUGGGCGAGAGCCUGAACCAGCCAAGUCGCGUGAAGGAUGACGGCCCUACGGGUUGUAAACUUCUUUUGUCAGGGAGCAAUUGGGUCCACGUGUGGGCUUAGCGAGAGUACCUGAAGAAAAAGCAUCGGCUAACUCCGUGCCAGCAGCCGCGGUAAUACGGAGGAUGCGAGCGUUAUCCGGAUUUAUUGGGUUUAAAGGGUGCGUAGGCGGAAUAUCAAGUCAGCGGUAAAAAUUCGGGGCUCAACCCCGUCGUGCCGUUGAAACUGAUGUUCUUGAGUGGGCGAGAAGUAUGCGGAAUGCGUGGUGUAGCGGUGAAAUGCAUAGAUAUCACGCAGAACUCCGAUUGCGAAGGCAGCAUACCGGCGCCCAACUGACGCUGAAGCACGAAAGCGUGGGUAUCGAACAGGAUUAGAUACCCUGGUAGUCCACGCAGUAAACGAUGAAUACUAAUUGUCCGGAGGGAUUGACCUCUGGGUGAUACAG
This 722-nucleotide ribosomal RNA is filed under the name uncultured bacterium. RNAcentral describes it as "bacterial SSU rRNA". It matches the Rfam family "Bacterial small subunit ribosomal RNA", at positions 136 to 851 of the family's 1533-position model. The record is from RNAcentral.